GCAGUAGCCGCGGUAACACAGAGGGUGCGAGCGUUAAUCGGAUUUACUGGGCGUAAAGCGUGCGUAGGCGGCUUCUUAAGUCGGAUGUGAAAUCCCUGAGCUUAACUUAGGAAUUGCAUUCGAUACUGGGAAGCUAGAGUAUGGGAGAGGAUGGUAGAAUUCCAGGUGUAGCGGUGAAAUGCGUAGAGAUCUGGAGGAAUACCGAUGGCGAAGGCAGCCAUCUGGCCUAAUACUGACGCUGAGGUACGAAAGCAUGGGGAGCAAACAGGAUUAGAUACCCCAGUAGUCCCUGUCUCUUAUAC
RNAcentral lists this ribosomal RNA (302 nucleotides) under uncultured bacterium. Its description in RNAcentral is "partial 16S ribosomal RNA". It matches the Rfam family "Bacterial small subunit ribosomal RNA", at positions 508 to 807 of the family's 1533-position model. The record is from RNAcentral.